UCUAAGGCCGGGCGGGGCUUCCCAGCGACCUUCCAGAUGCAAUGUGGGAAAAAAUGUUGACUCAUCCCUACAGAGGACGUCUGUCUUCCCAGAGAAGCCCGCCCGUGCUCCAUCGCCUAGUUUCUUCUGGGCAUUGGCUAACUUCCCUCAGCCUUGUUUCAGCUAAAGGAGAGCUCACCAAUGAGGAAGAGGACUGAGGACAUGGAGCAAAGGAGGGGGUGCCCCGGAUGGUUCUGUCCUUACUGAGCUCCACUUGCAUGAAGAGUACGAACCUCCCUCUCCUAUGACUAUAUCAACAUGGCUUUCAAGAUCUCCCAGAACCUUGACUGUGUCUAUCUCUUCAAGACCAUAUUCCCUGCCUAGCAGACAGCUUCCCACUCCAGAUUCUCCAAGGCCUGUGUCAUGUCUUGCCUCCUCCACUAAGC
Molecule: long non-coding RNA, 425 nt
Organism: Symphalangus syndactylus (siamang)
Lineage: Eukaryota; Metazoa; Chordata; Mammalia; Primates; Hylobatidae
Source: RefSeq, a predicted model, not a curated record